GUGCCAGCAGCCGCGGUAAUUCCAGCUCCAAUAGCGUAUACUAAAGUUGUUGCGAUUAAAAAGCUCGUAGUUGGAUCUCAGGCAUGGGCGCACGGUCCGCCUCGCGGCGGUCACUGUGUGUAUGUUUCCCAUCCUACGCUUCCCGGUUGUUAGCCCAUGGUGCUCUUCAUUGAGCGUUUUGGGUGGCCGGAACGUUUACUUUGAAGAAAUUAGAGUGUUCAAAGCAGGCACGUCGCCUGAAUAAUGGUGCAUGGAAUAAUGGAAUAGGACCUCGGUUCUAUUUUGCUGGUUUUCGGAACACGAGGUAAUGAUUAAGAGGGACAGACGGGGGCAUCCGUAUUGCGGUGUUAGAGGUGAAAUUCUUGGAUCAUCGCAAGACGAACUACUGCGAAAGCAUUUGCCAAGAAU
This 408-nucleotide ribosomal RNA is filed under the name Littorina littorea. Its description in RNAcentral is "SSU rRNA". It matches the Rfam family "Eukaryotic small subunit ribosomal RNA", at positions 564 to 965 of the family's 1831-position model. Lineage: Eukaryota; Metazoa; Mollusca; Gastropoda; Littorinimorpha; Littorinidae. The record is from RNAcentral.